RNA transcript from Oncorhynchus keta (chum salmon), 2415 nucleotides. It is a transcript of the gene named teneurin-2-like, with no coding region annotated. The transcript is spliced from 4 exons. Lineage: Eukaryota; Metazoa; Chordata; Actinopteri; Salmoniformes; Salmonidae. The record is from RefSeq and is a predicted model, not a curated record.
GAGAGGGAGAAAGAGGGAUUACGGAGGGGAGGUGGUGAGGGAGGGAGGGAAAGAAGAGGACAAUGUUCCGUUGAAAACAUUUCUCUGAUCGGCCACCUAAAUCUACCUGGAUGAAAUACUCAUUCACUGCACUGUUCCUAUUCAGAAGCCUGAUAGACAUUUUUUAAGGGCUUAUAUUUUCUAAUUUAGCUCAGGCACAGACGAGGGGAGCAGAGGGCAGCCGUAGCUGGAGGAACCCUCAUGGGUUAUUGGGCUUAUUCCAUCAGUCACACAGAAAGUAAUAAGAACAGCUCGCAGGGCAGAGACAUGGAGCGAGAGAAAGUUGAUUAAAAGGCAUGUAGACAGAUGGAGAAACAGAAAAAGAGAUCAACAGAGAGAAAAUAGAGAAAUAGUUGAUGAAAAGAAAGUGGCUUUUCUCGCACAAACUUAGUGUGGUGGUCCCACUUGGGUUGGCCCUGAGGCACUGUGUUGGUCAGGUGUGUGUGUCUCUGUGUCUGUGUUUUCCCACUUGGGUUGACCCUGAGGCUCUGUGUUGGUCAGGUGUGUGUGUCUCUGUGUCUGUGUUUUCCCACUUGGGUUGGCCCUGAGGCACUGUGUUGGUCAGGUGUGUGUGUCUCUGUGUCUGUGUUUUCCCACUUGGGUUGGCCCUGAGGCACUGUGUUGGUCAGGUGUGUGUGUCUCUGUGUCUGUGUUUUCCCACUUGGGUUGGCCCUGAGGCACUGUGUUGGUCAGGUGUGUGUGUCUCUGUGUCUGUGUUUUCCCACUUGGGUUGACCCUGAGGCUCUGUGUUGGUCAGGUGUGUGUGUGUGUCUCUGUGUCUGUGUUUUCCCACUUGGGUUGGCCCUGAGGCACUGUGUUGGUCAGGUGUGUGUGUCUCUGUGUCUGUGUUUUCCCACUUGGGUUGACCCUGAGGCUCUGUGUUGGUCAGGUGUGUGUGUCUCUGUGUCUGUGUUUUCCCACUUGGGUUGGCCCUGAGGCACUGUGUUGGUCAGGUGUGUGUGUCUGUGUUUUCCCACUUGGGUUGGCCCUGAGGCACUGUGUUGGUCAGGUGUGUGUGUCUGUGUUUUCCCACUUGGGUUGGCCCUGAGGCACUGUGUUGGUCAGGUGUGUGUGUCUGUGUUUUCCCACUUGGGUUGGCCCUGAGGCUCUGUGUUGGUCAGGUGUGUGUGUCUCUGUGUCUGUGUUUUCCCACUUGGGUUGGCCCUGAGGCACUGUGUUGGUCAGGUGUGUGUGUCUCUGUGUCUGUGUUUUCCCACUUGGGUUGGCCCUGAGGCACUGUGUUGGUCAGGUGUGUGUGUCUCUGUGUCUGUGUUUUCCCACUUGGGUUGGCCCUGAGGCACUGUGUUGGUCAGGUGUGUGUGUCUCUGUGUCUGUGUUUUCCCACUUGGGUUGACCCUGAGGCUCUGUGUUGGUCAGGUGUGUGUGUCUCUGUGUCUGUGUUUUCCCACUUGGGUUGGCCCUGAGGCACUGUGUUGGUCAGGUGUGUGUGUCUGUGUUUUCCCACUUGGGUUGGCCCUGAGGCACUGUGUUGGUCAGGUGUGUGUGUCUCUGUGUCUGUGUUUUCCCACUUGGGUUGGCCCUGAGGCUCUGUGUUGGUCAGGUGUGUGUGUCUGUGUUUUCCCACUUGGGUUGGCCCUGAGGCACUGUGUUGGUCAGGUGUGUGUGUCUGUGUUUUCCCACUUGGGUUGGCCCUGAGGCACUGUGUUGGUCAGGUGUGUGUGUCUGUGUUUUCCCACUUGGGUUGGCCCUGAGGCUCUGUGUUGGUCAGGUGUGUGUGUCUCUGUGUCUGUGUUUUCCCACUUGGGUUGGCCCUGAGGCACUGUGUUGGUCAGGUGUGUGUGUCUCUGUGUCUGUGUUUUCCCACUUGGGUUGGCCCUGAGGCACUGUGUUGGUCAGGUGUGUGUGUGUCUCUGUGUCUGUGUUUUCCCACUUGGGUUGGCCCUGAGGCACUGUGUUGGUCAGGUGUGUGUGUCUGUGUUUUCCCACUUGGGUUGGCCCUGAGGCACUGUGUUGGUCAGGUGUGUGUGUCUCUGUGUCUGUGUUUUCCCACUUGGGUUGGCCCUGAGGCACUGUGUUGGUCAGGUGUGUGUGUCUCUGUGUCUGUGUUUUCCCACUUGGGUUGGCCCUGAGGCACUGUGUUGGUCAGGUGUGUGUGUCUCUGUUUUCCCACUUGGGUUGGCCCUGAGGCACUGUGUUGGUCAGGUGUGUGUGUGUGUGUGUGUGUGUGUUUUCUCACUUGGGUUGGCCCUGAGGCACUGUGUUGGUCAGGUGUGUGUGUCUGUGUUUUCCCACUUGGGUUGGCCCUGAGGCACUGUGUUAGUCAGGUGUGUGUGUGUGUGUGUGUGUGUGUGUGUGUGUGUGUGUGUGUGUGUGUGUGUGUGUGUGUGUGUGUGUGUGUGUGUGUGUGUGUGUGUG